AUGAUGGGUAGGGGAGCUUCCCAUACGGGUUGAAGCAUGACCGUAAGGAAAUGUGGACAGUAUGGGAGUGAGAAUGUUGGAAUGAGUAGCGAGAUGUGGGUGAGAAUCCCACAGGCCGUAAACCCAAGGUUUCCAGGGGAAGGUUCGUCCGCCCUGGGUUAGUCGGGACCUAAGCUGAGGCCGAAAGGCGUAGGUGAUGGACAACAGG
Molecule: ribosomal RNA, 208 nt
Filed under: Clostridioides difficile
Lineage: Bacteria; Bacillati; Bacillota; Clostridia; Peptostreptococcales; Peptostreptococcaceae
Description: partial 23S ribosomal RNA
Rfam family: Bacterial large subunit ribosomal RNA
Source: RNAcentral